GCCUGAGUGGCUCAGUCGGUUGAGCGUCCGACUUUGGCUCAGGUCACGAUCUCAUGGUUCGUGAGUUCGAGCCCCGCAUUGGGCU
This 85-nucleotide transfer RNA is filed under the name Felis catus (domestic cat). It matches the Rfam family "tRNA". Rfam says of the family: Transfer RNA (tRNA) molecules are approximately 80 nucleotides in length. Their secondary structure includes four short double-helical elements and three loops (D, anti-codon, and T loops). The record is from Rfam by way of RNAcentral. Lineage: Eukaryota; Metazoa; Chordata; Mammalia; Carnivora; Felidae.